UAGCUACUCCCUCCGUUCCGAAUUACUUGUCUUAGAUUUGUCUAGAUACGGAUGCAUCUAAACUCAGUAUCUAGACAAAUCUAAGACAAGUAAUUCGGAAUGGAGGGAGUAGGAA
Triticum aestivum (bread wheat) is the source of this 115-nucleotide non-coding RNA. NCBI's taxonomy places the organism in Eukaryota, Viridiplantae, Streptophyta, Magnoliopsida, Poales, Poaceae. The record is from Rfam.